GGGGCUAUAGCUCAGCUGGGAGAGCGCCUGCUUUGCACGCAGGAGGUCUGCGGUUCGAUCCGCAUAGCUCCACCA
Molecule: transfer RNA, 75 nt
Filed under: Escherichia coli
Lineage: Bacteria; Pseudomonadati; Pseudomonadota; Gammaproteobacteria; Enterobacterales; Enterobacteriaceae
Also listed under: 11 other names
Description: tRNA-Ala
Rfam family: tRNA
About the family: Transfer RNA (tRNA) molecules are approximately 80 nucleotides in length. Their secondary structure includes four short double-helical elements and three loops (D, anti-codon, and T loops).
Source: RNAcentral